RNAcentral lists this ribosomal RNA (444 nucleotides) under uncultured bacterium. Its description in RNAcentral is "bacterial SSU rRNA". It matches the Rfam family "Bacterial small subunit ribosomal RNA", at positions 354 to 796 of the family's 1533-position model. The record is from RNAcentral.
GUAGGGAAUAUUGGGCAAUGGUCGGAAGACUGACCCAGCCAUGCCGCGUGCAGGAAGACGGCCCUCUGGGUUGUAAACUGCUUUUAUCUGGGAAGAAAAAGGCCAUGCGUGGCAAAUUGCCGGUACCAGAUGAAUAAGCACCGGCUAACUCCGUGCCAGCAGCCGCGGUAAUACGGAGGGUGCGAGCGUUGUCCGGAUUUAUUGGGUUUAAAGGGUGCGUAGGCGGCUGAUUAAGUCAGCGGUGAAAGACUUCGGCUUAACCGGAGCAGUGCCGUUGAUACUGGUUGGCUUGAGUGUCGGAGGGGUACAUGGAAUUGAUGGUGUAGCGGUGAAAUGCAUAGAUACCAUCAGGAACACCGAUAGCGAAGGCAUUGUACUGGCCGACAACUGACGCUGAUGCACGAAAGUGUGGGGAUCGAACAGGAUUAGAUACCCAGGUAGUCC